GCUGGGCGUGGUGGCGGGCGCCUGUAAUCUCAGCUACUCAGGAGGCUGAGGCAGGAGAAUUGCUUGAACCCAGGAGGUGGGGGUUGCAGUGAGCCGAGAUCGCACCACUGCACUCCAGCCUGGGCGACAGAGCAAGACUCUGUCUCAA
This 148-nucleotide non-coding RNA is filed under the name Gorilla gorilla gorilla (western lowland gorilla). Lineage: Eukaryota; Metazoa; Chordata; Mammalia; Primates; Hominidae. The record is from Rfam by way of RNAcentral.